CUUUCCCGGAAUUUUAUAUAUUUCUAAACUAGUAUAGUGCACGCUUAAUUCCUUACAUAAAUUAAUUUUUCAAAAGUCAUAUGUAUGAAUAGGUAUCAACAGGCAUGUAAGAAAUGAAAAAUUUUAAAAAUUCAACAAAAGUUAUAACUAAUGCAAAUUUAUUUGUUAUGCAUAUGCUAAUGUAAAUGAAUUGUAAGAGUUUUUCCAUGUCUCUCAUGUGUUUAUAUAUAGUAGAAG
RNAcentral lists this unclassified non-coding RNA (237 nucleotides) under Hevea brasiliensis (rubber tree). Lineage: Eukaryota; Viridiplantae; Streptophyta; Magnoliopsida; Malpighiales; Euphorbiaceae. The record is from RNAcentral.